GGCAAAGCUCAAUUUGAAUCUGGCGUCUUCGACGUCCGACUUGUAAUUUGAACAAGGCGACUUUGUAGCUGGUCCUUGUCUAUGUUCCUUGGAACAGGACGUCAUAGAGGGUGAGAAUCCCGUGUGGCGAGGAUCCCAGUUAUUUGUAAAGUGCUUUCGACGAGUCGAGUUGUUUGGGAAUGCAGCUCUAAGUGGGUGGUAAAUUCCAUCUAAAGCUAAAUAUUGGCGAGAGACCGAUAGCGAACAAGUACAGUGAUGGAAAGAUGAAAAGAACUUUGAAAAGAGAGUGAAAAAGUACGUGAAAUUGUUGAAAGGGAAGGGCAUUUGAUCAGACAUGGCGUUUGCUUCGGCUUUCGCUGGGCCAGCAUCAGUUUUAGCGGUUGGAUAAAUCCUCGGGAAUGUGGCUCUGCUUCGGUAGAG
This 420-nucleotide ribosomal RNA is filed under the name Kluyveromyces marxianus. RNAcentral's name for it is "eukaryotic LSU rRNA". It matches the Rfam family "Eukaryotic large subunit ribosomal RNA", at positions 101 to 529 of the family's 3401-position model. The record is from RNAcentral. Lineage: Eukaryota; Fungi; Ascomycota; Saccharomycetes; Saccharomycetales; Saccharomycetaceae.